This 1473-nucleotide ribosomal RNA is filed under the name human gut metagenome. RNAcentral describes it as "bacterial LSU rRNA". It matches the Rfam family "Bacterial large subunit ribosomal RNA", at positions 1364 to 2818 of the family's 2925-position model. The record is from RNAcentral.
GUUAAUCGGGGCAGGGUGAGUCGACCCCUAAGGCGAGGCCGAAAGGCGUAGUCGAUGGGAAACAGGUUAAUAUUCCUGUACUCGGUGUUACUGCGAAGGGGGGACGGAGAAGGCUAUGUUGGCCGGGCGACGGUUGUCCCGGUUUAAGCAUGUAGGCGGAUGUUCCAGGUAAAUCCGGAACGUUAUCAACGCUGAGGUGUGAUGACGAGGCACUACGGUGCUGAAGUGACAAAUGCCCUGCUUCCAGGAAAAGCCUCUAAGCAUCAGGUAACAUCAAAUCGUACCCCAAACCGACACAGGUGGUCAGGUAGAGAAUACCAAGGCGCUUGAGAGAACUCGGGUGAAGGAACUAGGCAAAAUGGUGCCGUAACUUCGGGAGAAGGCACGCUGAUGGUAAGUGAAGUGACUUGCUCAUGGAGCUGAAAUCAGUCGAAGAUACCAGCUGGCUGCAACUGUUUAUUAAAAACACAGCACUGUGCAAACACGAAAGUGGACGUAUACGGUGUGACGCCUGCCCGGUGCCGGAAGGUUAAUUGAUGGGGUUAUCCUCACGGAGAAGCUCUUGAUCGAAGCCCCGGUAAACGGCGGCCGUAACUAUAACGGUCCUAAGGUAGCGAAAUUCCUUGUCGGGUAAGUUCCGACCUGCACGAAUGGCGUAAUGAUGGCCAGGCUGUCUCCACCCGAGACUCAGUGAAAUUGAACUCGCUGUGAAGAUGCAGUGUACCCGCGGCAAGACGGAAAGACCCCGUGAACCUUUACUAUAGCUUGACACUGAACACUGGUCCUUGAUGUGUAGGAUAGGUGGGAGGCUUUGAAGUGUGGACGCCAGUCUGCAUGGAGCCAUCCUUGAAAUACCACCCUUUAAUGGCUGGUGUUCUAACGUGGGCCCGUAAUCCGGGUUGCGGACAGUGUCUGGUGGGUAGUUUGACUGGGGCGGUCUCCUCCUAAAGAGUAACGGAGGAGCACGAAGGUCAGCUAAUCCUGGUCGGACAUCAGGAGGUUAGUGCAAUGGCAUAAGCUGGCUUGACUGCGAGCGUGACGGCGCGAGCAGGUGCGAAAGCAGGUCAUAGUGAUCCGGUGGUUCUGAAUGGAAGGGCCAUCGCUCAACGGAUAAAAGGUACUCCGGGGAUAACAGGCUGAUACCGCCCAAGAGUUCAUAUCGACGGCGGUGUUUGGCACCUCGAUGUCGGCUCAUCACAUCCUGGGGCUGAAGUAGGUCCCAAGGGUAUGGCUGUUCGCCAUUUAAAGUGGUACGCGAGCUGGGUUUAGAACGUCGUGAGACAGUUCGGUCCCUAUCUGCCGUGGGCGCUGGAGAAUUGAGGGGGGCUGCUCCUAGUACGAGAGGACCGGAGUGGACGCAUCACUGGUGUUCGGGUUGUCAUGCCAAUGGCAUUGCCCGGUAGCUAAAUGCGGAAGAGAUAAGUGCUGAAAGCAUCUAAGCACGAAACUUGCCCCGAGAUGAGUUCUCCCUGA